UCAGUGGGGAGGUCAGUGCACCUCCUGGCUGCCCUGCUUCCCUCUUGUAAUUAAAGUAUGGAUUGUUUGAAAAAGAAAAGUCUUCUGAAGAAAUUAGUAUACUUGUAAAUAGACUAAUAGUGGUCUGACUAAUUUAGCUUUUGUCCCCCUUUUAGUAAGUAUUAAUACUAAAUGGAAUGCUUAUGAAUGCUAAACUAGACAGUGCUUGGCUCUGCAGAGUAUGUUUUGACCCUUUAACUUUGGGAGGCAGUAACAAGUUGAGUAUUCAUUCGUUAGGGUGAGAAAGCUGGGAACAUUGAGAACUGAUGAGAUGUCCUUCCUUUUGUUGUAUUGAAAUGAAAGGUAUCUUUACCAAGUCUAAAUUUCUUGUAUAUCCAGCUUAAUGAAAUAAGUACAUUACGUACCUUCUGUGAUAAACAGUUAAGGAUGCAAAGUUGAGUAAAAAUGUGGUCAUACUCUGAAGGAGCAGAGAAGGGGGUCUAAUUUAUGGGACACGUAG
RNAcentral lists this long non-coding RNA (499 nucleotides) under Bos taurus (domestic cattle). RNAcentral describes it as "long non-coding RNA NONBTAT024552". The record is from RNAcentral. Lineage: Eukaryota; Metazoa; Chordata; Mammalia; Artiodactyla; Bovidae.